AGUGAACGCUGGCGGUAGGCCUAACACAUGCAAGUCGAACGGCAGCACAGUAAGAGCUUGCUCUUACGGGUGGCGAGUGGCGGACGGGUGAGGAAUACAUUGGAAUCUACUUUUUCGUGGGGGAUAACGUAGGGAAACUUACGCUAAUACCGCAUACGACCUACGGGUGAAAGCAGGGGAUCUUCGGACCUUGCGCGAUUGAAUGAGCGGAUGUCGGAUUAGCUAGUUGGCGGGGUAAAGGCCCACCAAGGCGACGAUCCGUAGCUGGUCUGAGAGGAUGAUCAGCCACACUGGAACUGAGACACGGUCCAGACUCCUACGGGAGGCAGCAGUGGGGAAUAUUGGACAAUGGGCGCAAGCCUGAUCCAGCCAUACCGCGUGGGUGAAGAAGGCCUUCGGGUUGUAAAGCCCUUUUGUUGGGAAAGAAAAGCAGCAGGUUAAUACCCCGCUGUUCUGACGGUACCCAAAGAAUAAGCACCGGCUAACUUCGUG
This 492-nucleotide ribosomal RNA is filed under the name uncultured bacterium. RNAcentral's name for it is "partial 16S ribosomal RNA". It matches the Rfam family "Bacterial small subunit ribosomal RNA", at positions 29 to 507 of the family's 1533-position model. The record is from RNAcentral.